This 253-nucleotide ribosomal RNA is filed under the name uncultured bacterium. RNAcentral describes it as "partial 16S ribosomal RNA". It matches the Rfam family "Bacterial small subunit ribosomal RNA", at positions 524 to 776 of the family's 1533-position model. The record is from RNAcentral.
UACGUAGGGGGCAAGCGUUGUCCGGAUUUAUUGGGCGUAAAGAGCGUGUAGGCGGCCUGGUAGGUCUGCUGUGAAAACUCGAGGCUCAACCUCGAGACGUCGGCGGAAACCAUCUGGCUAGAGUCCGGAAGAGGAGAGUGGAAUUCCUGGUGUAGCGGUGAAAUGCGCAGAUAUCAGGAGGAACACCGGUGGCGAAGGCGGGUCUCUGGGCAGUAACUGACGCUGAGGAGCGAAAGCGUGGGGAGCGAACAGG